Molecule: long non-coding RNA, 871 nt
Organism: Entelurus aequoreus (snake pipefish)
Lineage: Eukaryota; Metazoa; Chordata; Actinopteri; Syngnathiformes; Syngnathidae
Exons: 3
Source: RefSeq, a predicted model, not a curated record
AUUUCCAUGAUUAUGAUUAUAAUAUGUAAGUUAUAUUAAGUAAAAUCAUCGAGGCUUAUCCCGGCGCGAGAGCUCUUCUUCCUUCUCCCCAGUGAGCGUGUUCCGUGUCCACGCCGGGGGAACGUUCACUCGGUGGCCGGCGUCUCUGGACGUCAUCCAUUCCAAACCCUUUUCACUCGCGUUUUGGGACGUCGCCAUCCACACACCAUUCAUUUAUCAUCCGCGGACAAACUUCUGUCUGCCCAAAGACCCAUGAAUCCUGCCAAGUGCGGAGCUGCGACGCUGCGCUGCUUUUUUUUUGAUGAGGACGCAGUCAAUAACUCUCUUGUGAAGUGGUGAAUGGCGGGCUCAUUCAGGUUUUUCCCUUCAUGACUUCGUGAAAACCUGCUACUUCAAGACCCUCUACCUAACGUGGAGCCAGCAGAAGGCUGCCUCCAAGCCCACAGGUACUGUACGGCUCCUCCCGCUCCCUUCCCUUCCAUCCACUUCAUGCUCUAUUUUUAGCAGCACCCUUCCCGGGGAUUUUGUCUUUUCUCUUCCUCUCCCCCAGACUCUCUACCAAGACCUGUUAAUAUAUGCUUCCUCAUUUUGUUUUGUUUUCUUUGAAGGUAACAGUUUUUAUUCACUUACACGAAGGCUGUCUUUGGAACCUGAGUCUUGUUGCGAAUGCUCUGCAUCGGCAAUGUGAGGUGCAUGCACCAAUAUUUGUAAUUAGUGAGCAGCAGCUGCAACUCCUCUCAAACUGGAGAUGUCAGCCCUUGUUGGUCUGUGGAGAUGAAGUGUGCGAGCAUGUUGAGUUCCCUCCACUGCCUCCACUUGUCUUUCAAAGGCAAAAUACAUAGAAAACAGACUCAAAUUUCUUGCAUAUAAU